Long non-coding RNA from Vidua chalybeata, 1592 nucleotides. RefSeq lists it as uncharacterized. Lineage: Eukaryota; Metazoa; Chordata; Aves; Passeriformes; Viduidae. The transcript has 2 exons. The record is from RefSeq and is a predicted model, not a curated record.
UAGAGAAAAGCUGUUUAUUUACCCUCCCUGAUGAGAGGGUGUGCCCAGAUUGAGAUUUUUGCUCCAUUGCACUGUCUUUGUUUGUUAAUUUGUGCCGUUUGUUUUUUUAUUAUCAAAACUGCAAAAAAAACCUGUUCCACCACCACAGGCAGAGGAAAGCCACUGAACUGAGCUUUACAGAGUGCUGGAAAACUACUGAGGUGCAGUGUGUGAGCAUGGCCACCUUUCAUUCCCACCAGGCUGACCUCCUUCCUUCAGUCCCUGAGCAGACCCUUAUGAGAACAGAAACCAGCCCAAACUUGUUUCUGUUCUUACAAGUUUUAAUCACAAUCCUCUUUUAUUGUCAGGUGGAAUAAUGUUAGAUGGUGAGAGCUGUGAUUUACGUGUAUUUUUAUACGAAACUGCUAAUCUGGUCAUCUUUCCAGUUGCCUGCUCAAGGUGGAUUGCAAAUCCCAUCAUCACAGAAGACCUUGCCUGGGUAAGGUGGUAACAUCCUCCAGGAAUUAUCAGUCAGCUCUGCUUCAAAGCAUGAGAUCAACAUAAGACCAGUGCAAAUGGAGUUCUUUACCUUCUACUUCCAAUCUUGAGGUAACAUCCAGGUGAAGUGUCAUGUUUCCACUGUCAUCUGGAGCACCUGAAACCAUCCUUAAAUAUGCGGACUGCUGUGGAGUCUCACAAUAUCCUGCAGAUUCAGGACUGGAAAAGACAACAAAAAAAUUGUCUGGUCUUUAACUUAGAAAGGCUAGGAAGAUGAGAAAGGCUUGACUCCCACCUUAAAAUCUGGCAUGGGACUGGGGAAAUAAAUAACUGGUCCUAUCCCAGGAGUGACUGGCUGGGAAAGCUGAGGAUGUGAGCUGGGAUGUAAAGUCUACAGGAGAGCUGUGUACAUUUCCUAGGCACACUGAGAGGAAGGAGUGCUAUGGCUCUGCCCUUCUGGCACACAGUUGUGUUGCCCACCCUAGUUGGGCUUAGUGGGAGGGGAAGGGUGGAGAAGCAGAUCUGCCUUGCAUGCUGGGAUCUACACAAAAAAGCAGUGCCAAAACUUGACAGAGAAAGUCUGUGCUGCUUCAAACUCAUGUGGGCAGGAGUUUGUCUGAUAUUCAGAAAGUGCAAUUUUAAGUUGAGCUUUCUCUGCUAUGCUAUUAACAGUAUGGAGUAUCUGCUUGUGAUUUGGUAUGGUUUUGACGCAUUUAUGAAACGGUUAAACCUAAUUUCAGUGUGUCAAAGAGGUGAGAAUGUGAUUUGAUAGAGAACAGUAUUAGUAAAACAGUCCUUCAGUUUUUAAUUGGGUACUCUGUGAAUUCAGUUUUAGGACAUGCAUUAUGCAGACACAAAAAUAGGACUUUCAAAUGAAGUGGGAUUUUAAGUGUAUUAUUACCUGAUUUGCAUUUAAAUUAGUGGAAUGCUGUUUGGGAUAUUCUGUAGAGAGCCACUGCUUCCUCUCCUUCAUCCCAGACAAACAUCUUUGAAAAACCAGGCCCUGCAUGCACUUCAGUCCUUGGCUAGGACACAACUGUGGGGAGAUCGCAAAGGCUGUGAGCUCUAUCAGAACAAAUCACUCAAUAAAGCUUAACUGCAGUUUUACAUGGAAA